Molecule: non-coding RNA, 30 nt
Filed under: Rattus norvegicus (Norway rat)
Lineage: Eukaryota; Metazoa; Chordata; Mammalia; Rodentia; Muridae
Source: RNAcentral
UACGUGAUUGUCUUCUGUUUAAAGGAUUUU